UGAAUACGAGACGCUAAGGCGUCGAAGUAGUGUAUGUCAUACUUCCAAGAAAAGCUUGCACUGUCAUAGAUAAAAAACGCCUGUACCAUAACCGACACAGGUGGGUAUGUAGAGUAUACUAAGGGGCGCGAGAUAACUCUCUCUAAGGAACUCGGCAAAAUAACUCCGUAACUUCGGGAGAAGGAGUGCCUUAUUCGUAAGGUUGCAAUAACAAGAUCCAAGCAACUGUUUAUCAAAAACACAGGUCUCCGCUAAGUCGUAAGACGAUGUAUGGGGGCUGACGCCUGCCCAGUGCCAGAAGGUUAAAGAAGUUGGUUAGCAAUUGCGAAGCUGAUAACUGAAGCCCUGGUGAACGGCGGCCGUAACUAUAACGGUCCUAAGGUAGCGAAAUUCCUUGUCGGGUAAGUUCCGACCCGCACGAAAGGCGUAAUGAUUUGGAUACUGUCUCGGAGAGGGGCUCGGUGAAAUAGACUUGUCUGUGAAGAUGCGGACUACCUGCACCAGGACAGAAAGACCCUAUGAAGCUUUACUGUAACUUGAAAUUGAAAUUGGACUUUAUUCGCGCAGUAUAGGUGGGAGGCGUUGAUUAUAAUCUUGUGGGAUUAUUGGAGCCAUCAGUGAGAUACCACUCUUGUAAUGUUAGAUUUCUAACUUUGAAUCAUUAUCUGGUCAAAGAACAGUUUCAGGCGGGCAGUUUGACUGGGGCGGUCGCCUCCUAAACGGUAACGGAGGCGUACAAAGGUUUCCUCUGAACGGUUAGAAAUCGUAUCUAGAGUGUAAAGGCAUAAGGAAGCUUGACUGUGAGACCUACAAGUCGAGCAGGGACGAAAGUCGGUCUUAGUGAUCUGACGGUACUGAGUGGAAAGGCCGUCACUCAACGGAUAAAAGUUACUCUAGGAUAACAGGCUGAUCUCCCCCAAGAGUUCACAUCGACGGGGAGGUUUGGCACCUCGAUGUCGGCUCAUCGCAUCCUGGGGCGGUAGUACGUCCCAAGGGUUGGGCUGUUCGCCCAUGAAAGCGGUACGCGAGCUGGGUUCAGAACGUCGUGAGACAGUUCGGUCCAUAUCCGGUGUAGGCGUUAGAAUAUUGAGAGGAGCCUUCUUUGGUACGAGAGGACCGAGAAGGACAUACCUCUGGUGUACCAGUUAUCGUGCCAACGGUAAACGCUGGGUAGCUAUGUAUGGAGUGGAUAACCGCUGAAAGCAUCUAAGUGGGAAGCCCACCUCAAGAUAAGUAUUCUCAUG
This 1244-nucleotide ribosomal RNA is filed under the name metagenome. RNAcentral's name for it is "bacterial LSU rRNA". It matches the Rfam family "Bacterial large subunit ribosomal RNA", at positions 1564 to 2818 of the family's 2925-position model. The record is from RNAcentral.